RNAcentral lists this ribosomal RNA (543 nucleotides) under uncultured bacterium. RNAcentral describes it as "bacterial SSU rRNA". It matches the Rfam family "Bacterial small subunit ribosomal RNA", at positions 224 to 759 of the family's 1533-position model. The record is from RNAcentral.
GAUGUGCCCAGAUGGGAUUAGCUAGUAGGUGGGGUAAUGGCUCACCUAGGCGACGAUCCCUAGCUGGUCUGAGAGGAUGACCAGCCACACCGGAACUGAGACACGGUCCAGACUCCUACGGGAGGCAGCAGUGGGGAAUAUUGCACAAUGGGCGCAAGCCUGAUGCAGCCAUGCCGCGUGUAUGAAGAAGGCCUUCGGGUUGUAAAGUACUUUCAGCGGGGAGGAAGGUGUUGAGGUUAAUAACCUCAGCAAUUGACGUUACCCGCAGAAGAAGCACCGGCUAACUUCGUGCCAGCAGCCGCGGUAAUACGAAGGGGGCUAGCGUUGUUCGGAAUUACUGGGCGUAAAGCGCACGUAGGCGGAUAUUUAAGUCAGGGGUGAAAUCCCGGGGCUCAACCCCGGAACUGCCUUUGAUACUGGGUAUCUUGAGUGUGGUAGAGGUGAGUGGAAUUGCGAGUGUAGAGGUGAAAUUCGUAGAUAUUCGCAGGAACACCAGUGGCGAAGGCGGCUCACUGGACCACAACUGACGCUGAGGUGCGAAAG